UUUUUUUUUUUUGUCUUUUUGCUAUUUCUUUGGGGCCGCUCCCACGGCAUAUGGAGGUUCCCAGGUGUGGACAUUAAAAGAAGGAAGGAAGGAAGGAAAAUCAACCCCCCAAAAACAAUACUCACUUCAUGGGGGUGUGAGGAAUAAAUUAUUUCAAUAUACAGAGUUUCACUCGUUCUUCAGCAAACAUAUUUUGAACUCCUACAAUAUGCACUAAGGAUAGAACAUCAAGACCCUGCCCUCACUGCAGAUAAGAGGUCCUUCUCCUUGUUGGGUACCCCACAAUUCAAGAAUUGCUAAGAGAACUGGAGGGCCAUUCCUUAAGGGCAGAAAGCAUGUGAUUCAUGCUUAACAAGAACCUGGCACAUGGCAACAGAUAAUAAAUGACUGCUAAAUGAAUGAACAAACUGUAUUUCUGAUUUGUUAAUAUGAAAAGGAAAAGAAAUUGAUACAUAAUAAUUACCUCACUCAGUGGAGGAGCAGAUACUUCAUAGUAACACUCAGAAACAUUUAGAAGGGAAAGCAAAAACCACACUUUCAUUAUUCCAUGUCAGGACUCAGUAUUAUCAUAUAAAUUUAGAUUCGUCAUAAAAAAAUCUCACCAUCUCUGAUUACUCCUGAAAAGGCUGUGAAAAUGUCUCUGUGUAUAUGUAUGUAAGUAUGUCAUACAUAAUUAUCUUUUUCAGAAAAGUAUCUUCUGUGAUAGUUAUGCUGCAAAAUAAUUAUGUUUUAGACUGGAGUUUUUUAGUAUGUGAAGUCAAUUGCAGAAACCAGUAUUUGGGGACAAAGAAUUUGAAUAAAUACUUACUGUGUUAACCAAAGACCUACUUUUAUCUAAAAAGUAGGAAGUUGUAAUUCUGUUCCUAAGAACUAGAAAAUUCUUCAGAUAAAAAGUAUGAGGUCUCAGCCUUGACACUACUGAUAUUUGGGGCCAGAUAACUCUUGGUUGUGGUGGGCUUUUCAUCUACCAUUAUAGGAUGUUUGGCAGUAUCCUUGGCCUCUAACCACAAGAUUCCAGGAGCACCCCCAAUUAUCAAAUGUCUUGCUGGUGAUUGACAAAAUAUUGUUGGGGGCAGGGGGGUAAAAUCACUCUGGCUGAGAAACACUGAGAUAAACAAUGGAAUGAGAAUUUUUUCACAAAGGCUAUUUAAAUAAGAUAUGGAGGAGUUCCCGUCGUGGCUCAGUGGUUAACGAAUCCAACUAGGAACCAUGAGGUUGCGGGUUCAAUCCCUGGCCUUGCUCAGCAGGUGAAGGAUCUGGCACUGCCGUGAGCUGUGGUGUAGGUCACAGAUGUGGCUCGGAUCCUGAGUUGCUGUGGCUGUGGUGUAGGCUGGCAGCUACAGCUCCGAUUCAACCCCUAGCC
This 1363-nucleotide long non-coding RNA is filed under the name Sus scrofa (pig). Its description in RNAcentral is "lncRNA (ENSSSCG00005003113.1)". The record is from RNAcentral. Lineage: Eukaryota; Metazoa; Chordata; Mammalia; Artiodactyla; Suidae.